Non-coding RNA from Macrostomum lignano, 1352 nucleotides. NCBI's taxonomy places the organism in Eukaryota, Metazoa, Platyhelminthes, Macrostomidae. The record is from Rfam.
UAUCUGGUUGAUCCUGCCAGUAGUCAUAUGCUUGUCUCAAAGAUUAAGCCAUGCAUGUCUAAGUACAAACCUUAAUACGGUGAAACCGCGAAUGGCUCAUUAAAUCAGCUAUGGUUCCUUAGAUCGUCUCAUCCUACUCGGAUAACUGUGGAAAAUCUAGAGCUAAUACGUGCUUACAAGCCCUGACCUCACGGGAGGGCGCAUUUAUUAGAUCAAAACCAAUCGGGGCUUGCCCCGUCUGCUUGGUGACUCUGGAUAACUUUUGUGCUGAUCGCAUGGCCUCUGCGCUGGCGACGUAUCUUUCAAGUGUCUGCCCUAUCAACUUACGAUGGUAGGUGAUAUGCCUACCAUGGUUAUAACGGGUAACGGGGAAUCAGGGUUCGAUUCCGGAGAGGGAGCCUGAGAAACGGCUACCACAUCUAAGGAAGGCAGCAGGCGCGCAAAUUACCCACUCCCGGCACGGGGAGGUAGUGACGAAAAAUAACGAUACGGGACUCUUUUGAGGCCCCGUAAUUGGAAUGAGUACACUUUAAAUCCGUUAACAAGUAUCUAUUGGAGGGCAAGUCUGGUGCCAGCAGCCGCGGUAAUUCCAGCUCCAAUAGCGUAUAUUAAUGUUGCUGCAGUUAAAAAGCUCGUAGUUGGAUCUGAGGACUCGAAUUGGUGGUGCACCAUACGGUGUUACUGCCGAUUCGGCCUACCUAGUCGGUGCUCGCUCUUGGUGUUCUUAAAUUGAAUGCCCUGAUGCCUGCCGGGCAAGUUUACUUUUGAAAAAGAAAUUAGAGCUGCUCAAAGAUGCAGCGCAUUAGAGCGGAAUUACUAUCAGUCAAGAAUAUGGAAUAAUCGGAUAGGACUUCGGUUUCCUACUUUUAUUUUGAGUUAGCGAACCCGUUUUCGCCGUUUAUUGGGUAAUGUUUUAAUUAGCAGAGACAGACGGCCUGGGCAUUUACGUACACUGCGUGUUGUUGAGAGGCUGAAAUUCUUUGGAUCGCCGCAAGCACGACAAUGCAACGAAAGCAGUUUGCCAGGUGUUAUUCAAUUAAUUUUUUAUUAGACGAAGUCAGAGGUUCGAAGACGAUCAUUCGAACCUAGAUCAGAUAAGUAAGUUAUGCCAACUAAAGCGAUUGCAACUUGAUUCCGAGAUCGUUCUUGUUACCUUGACCCUCGGGCAGCACGCCUCCGGCGAAACCAAAGUUUUUAGCGUUCCGGGGAAGUAUGGGCAGCCAGACUGCAGAACCUUACAAGAAUUGACGGAAGGGCACACCACCAGCGUGGUCUGCGGCGUUAUGCCCGGCUUUGAUUUGAACACGGGCAAAACUCACCCGGCGGGCAAAGACUCACUGUCUAGGCACUUG